RNAcentral lists this ribosomal RNA (304 nucleotides) under uncultured Desulfocapsa sp. Its description in RNAcentral is "bacterial SSU rRNA". It matches the Rfam family "Bacterial small subunit ribosomal RNA", at positions 1077 to 1382 of the family's 1533-position model. The record is from RNAcentral. Lineage: Bacteria; Pseudomonadati; Thermodesulfobacteriota; Desulfobulbia; Desulfobulbales; Desulfocapsaceae.
GGGUUAAGUCCCGCAACCGAGCGCAACCCUUGUCAUUAGUUGCUACAUUCAGUUGGGCACUCAAUGAGACUGCCGGUGUCAAACCGGAGGAAGGUGGGGAUGACGUCAAGUCCUCAUGGCCUUUAUGACCAGGGCUACACACGUACUACGAAUGGCCGGUACAAAGGGCAGCGACACGGCGAUGUGAAGCGAAUCCCGAAAAGCCGGUCUCAGUCCGGAUUGGAGUCUGCAACUCGACUCCAUGAAGUUGGAAUCGCUAGUAAUCGCGGAUCAGCACGCCGCGGUGAAUACGUUCCCGGGCCUU